This 7418-nucleotide long non-coding RNA is filed under the name Malus domestica (apple). RNAcentral's name for it is "long non-coding RNA (MDOM_LNC020717)". Lineage: Eukaryota; Viridiplantae; Streptophyta; Magnoliopsida; Rosales; Rosaceae. The record is from RNAcentral.
GACACACCCCGUCCCAAAGGAGGGCAUGCUGGCCGUCACGUGAGAGUGACGUAACCAUUUGCACAGUACGGAAGCUUUAAUUAUACAAUUUAUAAGUUGAUACACCCGAAGGUGAGUCCUAAUUUUGUCUAAUCUGUCAGAACACCGUCGAAUUCCUCGUAGUCACCACACCUUUGUGAUUCCUGAACCUGGAGGGGCGCAAAACCAAAAUUGAGUGGGUGAGUAAAACAAUUCUUUUCCAAAUCCAAACAUUUCUCAAAACGUUGUAACCCCUCUCCGUAAAACCUGUAUACUUUCCCAGAAAUGUAAAAUAUAAAUAUACAUAUAUAUUCUCAACAUUUUUCUUUAUCAAUCAUGCCAUGCCAUGUCUAAUUCAACAGUUAAGUAUGGAUGCAUCAACAAUAAUCAUAUCAGGUGCAAGAAAGUAAUCAAUCGGAGGCCCUCUAAUAGUCCUGUACGGUUGAAUCUAGAGCUCGAAAUCUAUCACUAUCACUCUGCCGGAGUCACCUCUGUGACCUAUCCGGCCUUCUGCACACAAGUUACGCUCUAGUGCUUCUCUCAUCAAUCAUCUGUGCACAUAAUCUAAGGUCACCCACCAGUCGAAAUCUCACUAACACUCUUCGACUGGCCCGUCGCACCCACUCCGCGUGGACUGUGCGACCAGCAUCUACUUGGAUCCAAGGCGAGCGUGCGAUGCGGUGAAUACUAUAAGCACUAAACCAUGGUGCAGGAUUUGAGCUCAAUAUAUAUCAUCAUCAUCAUAACAGUAAUUAAAUACUCACCUGAUACUCACCUGUGCGUCCGCCGCACCAAUUCAUACAUAUGCAUCAUAUCUCAAUUCAUGCUUUUCAUAUCAUUUCAUGCAUGGCAAUUCGAUUUACAUUUCCAUAUAUAUUUCAUAUACUUCUAUGCAUGACCUUUCAAUUCACGUUUUCAUAUAAUUCUAUAUACCUUUCGUUUAAAACAUAAUUUCAUUCUAAUUCAAUUUCUGGGAAAACGUCAAGUAUAUAUAUAUACGGAAAACAAAACUGUCCACUCACAGAUUACAUCGACGUCUCGUAAGUCCCUGAGCAUCCCUUGGCCAUGCCUGAUGCCCGCAUAAACCUCACCUAUACAAAAGUAACCAUUUUGAUGUUAUUUAACGCCUAACCCAAAUCUUAGUUAAUAACUCCUCAUAUUUUGCUCAAAUUGGGUAUAUGAAUAUACCACCGUGACCUACACAACCUCAGGAUCAUCCCCAUAUUUUUAAAAUAAUUUUUCGAGGUCUCACGCGCCCCCACGUGCCUGACGUGGCACGGACCUACGCGCCCCCCACGCGCGGCCACGUGACAUGCACACUGACGGCUACAGUGAACGGCGUUAGGGAAUAUUCCGUCAAAUCCUAGUAUAUUCCGUUAAAAACUAACGGUUUCCGUUAAAACUGACUAACGGCGUCAGAAUAUUCCGUCAAACUUGACGGAAUAUUCCGUCACCUUCAACCUUCAGCUCCGGGGACCGUCGCCGGCGCCGGAAACUGGGUAAAUUUUCAAAACCACUAAUUUCACUCGUUUUUGGUCCAUUUUCUUCGAAUUUUACACCAAAAUGAAGCAUUUAACACCUACUAUCACGUUGGAAGGUUUUUAAGGUCCAAAAACAACAAGAUCAUACCUUUCCAAAUUUCAUCAAAUUCGGCCAAACUCGAACCCAACGAUCCCGACGUCCAUUUUGUUCAAACGAGGCACUCUGAGCCUCCUCGUGACCUCCUUAAGCUCACUGUGAGCUUUGUUUAACCUAAAACACGGCCAUAUUAAAGUUUGUGAACAGUGCUUAAUCACGGGGUGUUUUGAAACUAGGAUUUCAGAAAUGAAACUUACUCGAAAAUGGUAUCCCCGUGUUCGUGAAGUCAUCAGGAGUGUCGUGGUGAUCUUCACUUGGACGUUCGUGAAUGUUUUAGGUAAGUUUGUGUGUGAGCUUGUGAGUUCGAGAGUAAGAGAGAGAAUGAGAGAGUCUGAAAUGAAGAAAGAGAGAGAGAGUGUGUGACUGAGAAGGAUAAGAGCUGAGGAAGAGACAACCUACGGGUUUUGGGGAAGGAAUUCGGGAGGUAGGACCCUACCUAAAGUCCAAAUACAAAAUAACACAUACAAUUAUAAAUCUAACCCUAGUUUAGGAUCUUAAAGUAAAACAAACACCAAAAUUACGCACCUUAAUCCCGUUUAAGGGCGUUUUUGUAAUUUCACGUCCUCGGUAUUUAGUAAUUCUGGGACGGGCUGUGACAAUCUCCCCUCCUUAUAGAAUUUCGUCCCCGAAAUUCCAGUCAUCAACCAGAACAUCAAAACUCAUAGAAUAGCCUCGGAUACAUAUCCUGCAUCCGUUCUUCUGUCUCCCAUGUAGCUUCUUCCGCUGUAUGGUUUCUCCACAAUACUUUUACCAAGCUCACGGUCUUAUUCCUUAGAGUCUUAUCUUUCCAAUCCAGUAUAGUCACUGGUUCUUCAUCAUACGUCAAAUCCGGAUUAAUUUCCAAAAGUUGAGGAGGAAUCACAUGUGAAGGAUCUGAAACAUAAUGCCGAAGCAUCGAGACAUGAAACACAUUAUGUACCUUAGACAACUCUGGAGGCCAUUCAAUUCUAUAAUCAACUUCACCAACCUUUCGAUGAUCACGCUAAGUCCGAUUCAUUUAGGAUUUAACUUGCCUUCCUUUCCAACCCGAAUUAUACUUUUCUAUGGUGAACACUUCGAAAAUAUAAAACCAUUUACCUUAUAUACUCGAUUAGUGGCAUAUCUAUCUGUUGAUCUCUUUUGCCAUUCCUGGUUACUUCAGGUUAACUUAAUCACCUGAAUACUUUGAGGAGACUCAUCCAUAGUCUCAAGGUCUACUAAAACUCUUUCUUGAUUGAAUCUUUCUCUAUUCAGAAGCAUUUCAUUCACACGACACGCUUCAGGGACCCUAUGGCGUUAUUUCGGAAACUGCGCACCCAACAUACUUAAGAAACUCAGCAGUUCCGUAAUCCAAUUCUCUUUCCAUAAAACAAAUAAGUACCGUUGUCCUGACUGGGAAAAAGUUAUUACUCAACACUGGAGUAAAUAUACUAACUUGUUACGUUGCCCAACCAUCACUUCACAUCCGAUCGUAACCAUCUUGUAUACAAGGAAACUUGUACACAUAGUCCAAAGUAAUAUCUUUCCAUUUCCGUUUCGAAACAGAAAAUAGUUAUCUCAAUCCAAAGGUUUAUUUCUUUCUGCCUCAAUCUGCUGACCAAUAAAAAUGUCGAAUGGUAUGAUAAACCUUAUUACUUUCGGAAUAUUGCAGAAGUUAAACAAUGUACUUCGUCCAAAAUUGCUUACUUUAAACCCACAGCAUUAGGCACAUACUUUUCGUUUGCUUGUAUUCACAUACCAUCCGAUUCAAGAAUCAUGUACUCAUUCUUUUUCCUUUCUUUCUCUGCCUUGGUUAAUUCUUAAAUUUCUUCGUUAACCAUUUGAGUCUCGAGUACGACCUUACCAAAAGGCCUAACUUGAAACUUAGCAAGUAUAACUUCUUCUCGAUCUUUCAUUCUUAACUUUACUUUAGUUGGUUUCCAAUCCACAAGAAGAUAAUCUUGGCAAGCGUACCAAGCAUUAAUUCUUGCUGGAGUCUUCUCAUCAAGUGCUUCCGCUACAACAAUUCACGAUCACCCUGAUCGUACAAUCAUAAUCACUAAGUAAUUCAAUCCACCUUUGUUGCCUCAUAACAAAAUCCUUCCGAGUAAACAAAUAUUGGAGACUCUUUUGAUUUGUAAAAUCUUGCAUUCUUAUCAACAUAUAAUGUCUCCAUAACUUCACAGCAAGGAUGAUAAUCGUGACUUCCAAAUCACCAGUAGGGUAAUUCAUCUCAUGAGGUUCCAUUUGUCGUGAAACAUAUACAAUCACCCUAACAUUUGCAUCAACAUGCCUCCAAUACCAUUCAAGAAACAGCACUAAAAAUUUAUGAUUACCACUAUCUUCUAGGAUUACUAAAAUACGUGUAUGAGUGAGGAAAUACUUUAGUUGUUGAAUUCCUUACUCACAAUUUCCUUCCCACUCAUACAUAACUCUUUUUCUCAACAGUCUCGUCAAUGACAAAGCAAUGACUGAAAAAUCUUUCACAACCAUCCAAGAUAGCCUGGUAAGUUAAGAAAUUCCAAAUCUCAAUUACGACUCGUGGUUGUUCCAAAUUCUCAAUUCUGCUGCCUUUUAAGAAUUCAUUUGAAUACCUUAAGUAGAUAUAACCAAUCUCAGAAUGCCACUUGAUUCAUCUAACUUUAGCAUUUGCUACUUAGCAUACAACCGACGUUCCCUCAAACUUUGUAACAUCAACUUAAAAUAUCUAACAUGCUCUGCUCUAGGCUUAGAGUAUACCAGAAUAUCUUCAAUGAAAAUGAUAUCUAUUUAUCAAGGCAUUAUUGGAAUACUUCAUCCAAUAACUCAUAAAACAGCAUGAGUAUCCAUAUAGCAUCACCAAACUUCAUAAGGACCAUAACAAGUCCAGAAAACCAUCUUAUGAUCAACGUCACUUAUAAUAUUCAAUUGGUAUUAACCAGAUCUCAAGUCAAUCUUUGAAAAUAUACAAGCACCUUUGAACUGAUCAAAUGAGCGUCAAUACACCACAAGGGAUAACGGUUCUCAAUCGUUACCCGACUCCAUUGUCUAUAAUCAAUGGAUAGCCUUAAAAAUCCAUUUUCUUCCUCACCAACGAACUGGGCUCCUCAAAAGUGUUGUACUAGGUUGAAUAAAACUUUUAUCAACCAAUUCUUUCAACUGAAUUUCCAAUUCCCUUAACUCAUCAUGAACCAAUCUUUAACAUAAAUUUAUACCUGGCAACAAUUCAAUAAUGAACCUCAUAUCUCUGCCUGAAGACAAUCCAGAUAUACUUUCAGGGAAGACAUCAAGAAAAGUCUAACCCUUUCGACAUUAUUCACACUACUCCAAACAAUAUCAUUUAGCACCACAUGAGCUAAGUAUUUUUGGGCAGCCUUUCAAAACAAUCUCUUUGCUUUCACAGCAUAAAUAAUGGCUGAACUCACUUCACUUUGCAUGCCCACUCAUUAAGGUAACCUCUGAUCAUCCAGAUCGAUGGAAAAUGACUGGUUUCCCGUAACAAUCCAUCUAGUCACAAUUAUAACCAACUAAUCUAAUGGAAAUAAUUUAACCGACACAAUUCAUACUCUAUUACUACUAAGCAUUCUGAAUAAGUACAAUACUAACAUAAAAUAAUCUACCGGGUUGCUUGCUUAACGAAUCCACGAAUGAGUUAUUAAUAUUACGGUCUGCAGCCCGCAAUACUGAUAAAUCAUCGUUGUCUCGAUAAGUAGGCAACCACUCUCAAAGAUAUAACAUUACUAUUUUGUCACUCAAUGCAAAAUACAUACACUCGUCUCAACUACAUUUAUUUACUACUCUCUAGGUAAUAACAUACAUAAUAAGAAAUAUAUCAGCCGAAGUCAACUAGAAUGACCAAUACGGCUGAUUCAACUCUUAUCUCAAUAAUACGUCGGCCGGAUCCACUCUGCGUGGUCGGUACGGUCGAGUAUAUAACUCACCAAUUUCUCAUGUGUCAGUCGAAUCCACUUCUCAUGGUCUAUACGGCUGAACAUAUAACUCACCAAAUCUCUCUGUACUCACGGUCAAUCCGACCAAACUACUAAGUUCAUAAACUUGCUGAAUCGACACUAUGAUGCCAUGGAAACUGUUGGGUACAACUGAUUCUAGGGACGAUUCACAAUUCUGUGUCCCCUCUGUUCACAUAAACACAUUUAUUAAUUUCACACUUCCCAAAGUGUUAAUUUUGUACCUGCUGCACAAAGUACAUUUCCUUUACUCGAGACACCUUGUCUCAAAUAUCUGGGAUUACCAGUAUAUCCAUCACUUUUACUCUGACCAGCUACAUUAAAACCUCAGCUGGAAGAAUUAACUCUAGCUUCACUUCUUUCGAAGCUCUGAAUCUUUCUAUAUCCUUGAUAUGACGAAUCAUUAACUUUAUCGUCUUCUUUUAAUUCCCAUUCAUUUCUUAUUCCUCUUUACUCUCGUUGAUCAUGUUCUCAGAGUCCUCAAGGCUCAACAACAUCUCGUAUACUCCUGGUAAUAAAUACAAUGGAUAGUGGUCACUCAAAGAACGCCGCUUUUUCUUACUAUCCAGCAUAAACAACAUAACACCUCAACCAAAUUAACAGUAAUAUCUGGAUGGAACGAGGCAAGUCUGAAAACUUUCUAUAAUAUCCCUCGAUCAUCACCUUCAUUGUCUCAUAUUUGUAAACUCUUGUUUACUACCAUCGAUAAAUGCCGGAGGGAUAAACUUUUCCUUAAACAAGUCCUUAAACAAUUUUAAAUCGGCUGAUUCCUCUGGUGACAACAACUAACAAUCCUGUUUCCACCAGGAUACAAAUUCAUACCCAAAACCAGGUAGUCGUCUCGACCCCUUGUCAGAAGGAAGAUUCCUUUGACUUGCAUAAUCUGAAACAUCUUUUCCAAAUGGUUAAACCGUUACUUCGUUCCCUCAGGUUCAUCAUUUCAUAAGGUGAUUCAAAUUCGACUUAUAACCCGUCUUAAAAUGUCCAUUUUGAUAAUAUACUGAAUCACCAUAAUAAUAGUUUCCCCCAAACCGCUAAAUCAGGGAGACUAAAUUCCUCUAACUACGUGGUUUGCUACGAGGCGGUGUAGUUCUGACAGAAUUCACUAGAAACUUCUCAAGAUGUCCAAGAUUGCAACCAUGCUCUGAUACCAACUGACACACCCCGUCCCGAAGGAGGGCAUGCUGGCCGUCACGUGAGAGUGACGUAACCAUUUGCACAGUACGGAAGCUUUAAUUAUACAAUUUAUAAGUUGAUACACCCGAAGGUGAGUCCUAAUUUUGUCUAAUCUGUCAGAACACCGUCGAAUUCCUCGUAGUCACCACACCUUUGUGAUUCCUGAACCUGGAGGGGCGCAAAACCAAAAUUGAGUGGGUGAGUAAAACAAUUCUUUUCCAAAUCCAAACAUUUCUCAAAACGUUGUAACCCCUCUCCGUAAAACCUGUAUACUUUCCCAGAAAUGUAAAAUAUAAAUAUACAUAUAUAUUCUCAACAUUUUUCUUUAUCAAUCAUGCCAUGCCAUGUCUAAUUCAACAGUUAAGUAUGGAUGCAUCAACAAUAAUCAUAUCAGGUGCAAGAAAGUAAUCAACCGGAGGCCCUAUAAUAGUCCUGUACGGUUGAAUCUAGAGCUCAAAAUCUAUCACUAUCACUCUGCCGGAGUCACCUCUGUGACCUAUCCGGCCUUCUGCACACAAGUUACGCUCUAGUGCUUCUCUCAUCAAUCAUCUGUGCACAUAAUCUAAGGUCACCCACCAAUCGAAAUCUCACUAACACUCUUCGACUGGCCCGUCGCACCCACUCCGCGUGGACUGUGCGACCAGCAUCUACUUGGAUCCAAGGCGAGCGUGCGAUGCGGUG